AAGCCGAUAAUCCUUAAUUGAUCUGAGUAGGAUGAUCAAUCACACUAAGACUGAGAGAAGGCUUAGACUUUUUAAAAGGCAGCAGUGAGGAAUUUUGGACAAUGAGUGCAAACUUGAUCCAGCAAUAUAAAGUGAAUGAUAGAAAGCCAUUUUCGGUUGUAAAGUUCUUUUAUUAAAAAAUAUUAUGACUUAUUUAAUGAAAAAACCCGAGCAAAUUUCGUGCCAGCAGCUGCGGUGAUACGAGACGGGUUAGUGUUAUUCAGAAUUAUUGGGCGUAAAACGUGUCUAGACUACUAUUGUUGUAAAUAUUUAAAGCUUAAACUUGACAUUUUUAAGAGAUAUUUUAAACAAAUAGUUUGAGUACAGUGUAAGAUUAUAGAAUUUCAGGAGAAAAAAUAAAAUUUGUAGAUAUCUGAAGGAAUGCCAAAGGCGAAAGCAAUAAUCACUACUUUACUGACGUUGACACACGAAAGUAUAGGUAUCAAACAGGAUUAGAUACCCUGGUAGUCCACGCCGUAAACGAUGAGUGCUAGGUGUUGGGUCCUUUCCGGGACUCAGUGCCGCAGCUAACGCAUUAAGCACUCCGCCUGGGGAGUACGACCGCAAGGUUGAAACUCAAAGGAAUUGACGGGGAUUUAUAACAUUGGUGGACUAUGUGGUUUAAUUCGUCAAUACACGCAAAACCUUACCAAUUCUUGAAUAAUUAUAAAAUUAAAGCAAAAUGUUAAUUUUAAUAUAAUUACAGGUGCUGCAUGGUUGUCGUCAGUUCGUAUUGUGAAAUGUCUGGUUUAUUCCUGUAACGAGCGAAACCCUAUUUCUUUAUUACAAAUUUGUGAUUAAAUAACCUUUUUGGUUGUUUUAAGCUUAUAGAACAUUAAGAAUUUUGUAGAACUCCUUAUAACGAUAUAAGGUGAAAAUGGGAUGACGUCAAAUCUUCAUGGCCUUUAUGGAUUGGGCUACUCAUGUAGUACAAAAAUAGUAUCAAUAAGUUGCAAUAAUGAAAAUUGGAGCUAAUCUAGAAAAACUAUAAAAAUUCAAAUUGUUUUCUGAAACUUGAAAACAUGAAGUUGGAAUCAAUAGUAAUCGUUUAUCAGCAAGGAACGGUGAAUUCAAAUUUAAAUCUUGUACAUACCGCCCGUCACAGCCUGGAAAUUAAUUUUAUUUAAAGUUAAAUUAUAUGUUAAACAUUUUAGUUUUUUUUGUUAUUUGUUUUUCACUUAUAACUAAAUUAGAUAAUUGACACGUAGUUUAAUUAGAAUAAAGUUAAUAACUUUGUUGAAGUCGUAACAAGGUAACAGUAGAGGAAUCUGUUGUUGGAAU
Molecule: ribosomal RNA, 1320 nt
Filed under: Hemiselmis andersenii
Lineage: Eukaryota; Cryptophyceae; Cryptomonadales; Hemiselmidaceae
Description: partial Bacterial small subunit ribosomal RNA
Rfam family: Bacterial small subunit ribosomal RNA
Source: RNAcentral